GAUGAACGCUGGCGGCGUGCCUAAUACAUGCAAGUCGAGCGAACGGACGAGAAGCUUGCUUCUCUGAUGUUAGCGGCGGACGGGUGAGUAACACGUGGAUAACCUACCUAUAAGACUGGGAUAACUUCGGGAAACCGGAGCUAAUACCGGAUAAUAUUUUGAACCGCAUGGUUCAAAAGUGAAAGGCGGUCUUGCUGUCACUUAUAGAUGGAUCCGCGCUGCAUUAGCUAGUUGGUAAGGUAACGGCUUACCAAGGCAACGAUGCAUAGCCGACCUGAGAGGGUGAUCGGCCACACUGGAACUGAGACACGGUCCAGACUCCUACGGGAGGCAGCAGUAGGGAAUCUUCCGCAAUGGGCGAAAGCCUGACGGAGCAACGCCGCGUGAGUGAUGAAGGUCUUCGGAUCGUAAAACUCUGUUAUUAGGGAAGAACAUAUGUGUAAGUAACUGUGCGCAUCUUGACGGUACCUAAUCAGAAAGCCACGGCUAACUACGUG
RNAcentral lists this ribosomal RNA (497 nucleotides) under uncultured bacterium. Its description in RNAcentral is "partial 16S ribosomal RNA". It matches the Rfam family "Bacterial small subunit ribosomal RNA", at positions 28 to 507 of the family's 1533-position model. The record is from RNAcentral.